AAUCAGGUAGGACUACCCGCUGAACUUAAGCAUAUCAAUAAGCGGAGGAAAAGAAACUAACAAGGAUUCCCCCUAGUAACUGCGAGUGAAGCGGGAAGAGCUCAAAUUUAAAAUCUGGCAGCCUUUGGUUGUCCGAGUUGUAGUCUGGAGAAGCGUUUUCCGUGUUGGACCGUGUAUAAGUCUCUUGGAACAGGGCGUCAUAGAGGGUGAGAAUCCCGUCUUUGACACGGACUACCAAUGCUUUGUGAUGCGCUCUCAAAGAGUCGAGUUGUUUGGGAAUGCAGCUCAAAAUGGGUGGUAAAUUCCAUCUAAAGCUAAAUAUAGGCGAGAGACCGAUAGCGAACAAGUACCGUGAGGGAAAGAUGAAAAGCACUUUGGAAAGAGAGUUAAACAGUACGUGAAAUUGCUGAAAGGGAAACGCUUGAAGUCAGUCACGUCUGCCAGGACUCAGCCUUGCUUUUGCUUGGUGCACUUUCUGGUUGGAUGGGCCAACAUCAAUUUUGACCGUUGGAAAAAGGCUUUGGGAAUGUGGCACCUUCGGGUGUGUUAUAGCCCUUUGUCGUAUACGACGGUUGGGAUUGAGGACCGCAGCACGCCUUUAUGGCCGGGGUUUACCUACGUACGUGCUUAGGAUGUGGCAUAAUGGCU
Molecule: ribosomal RNA, 648 nt
Filed under: uncultured Thelephorales
Lineage: Eukaryota; Fungi; Basidiomycota; Agaricomycetes; Thelephorales
Description: eukaryotic LSU rRNA
Rfam family: Eukaryotic large subunit ribosomal RNA
Source: RNAcentral